CCUUUUGCCACACUUUUGAAGCGUAGCAUUGUCAUACAUAUUUUAACCUUUAUGCAAGUAUCAAUUUUAUGUUUAAAAAUUAUAUUUUUUCAAAUAUGCUAUAAUCACAUUUAUUUCCUAAAUAUAAACUUCAAUAUGCUGAUCUCAAACACUACAUUAACUAUUAAAUAACAAAUUUUGUUUCAAAUGAAUAUACUUGCAAUGAAUUUUGAAGAAGGAAUAUUUUACAACAUCAAAUAAUAAAACUAAUUGUUUCAAGGUGCCUGCCAGCCAUUAACCUUACAUCUCAUAAACAUCAUAAUGGUCCAAUUGUGAUCCAGCCCUUCCCCGGACACCGCGGAUAGUGGGAGCUUAGUGCACCGAGCUACCCAUAAUUGUCCAAAACUCUACGGUAUUAGCUUCUUAUAAAUCAAUUUGAUCUAGUCCACCAUUUUCAAUUCCAUCUCCAGAAUUUUCCUACAAAUUAAAAUCAAAUUAAAAGCUAGAUAGAAACCAAUAUUAUACUACUGCAAACUCAAAUGAGCAUAUUUUCACCAAUCAAAAGAUCAACACUACUAAUAAUGAAAAAGUAGCACUUUCGGGGCAGGAGACAGUGGAUGAGCGGCCAAAUAGAAAUCAGUACCCAUUUACACGUCCAAUAGGAGAUAUCUUGCAAGCAUGAACUAGUAGAAUUUGCAAUAGGCAGUGCAUCUGCAAAUAUCUAUUUAUCAAUAGAUUGGCAAAAUAUAGGUAAAACAUGAAAUAUCUACAUAAUAAACCUAAUAACAGAAUUUAGAUUGUAUUAGUAACAUUCUCAAGCAUGGAGAAACAAAAGGAACCUAACCAUAUCGGUUAGAUUCCUACCGUACGGUUAUUAGUCAAAUCAAGGAUCUUAAGUGUUGCACAAUAGAAAUUUUAGCAACAUGAUUCACAAAGUAUAAUAUUAACACUGCUCUUGAUAACAAUGGAUGGUAAUUCACUUUCUGGAUAGAUACAAUAUGGAGUUUAAUGGAAGCAUUCUAGUACAAAAAACAAUGUAGAUGAUAGCAACUAUAAGGUAAUAUCACAAAAUCACAUAAAUAAUACAUAUCUAACUGUCUCCAUGACAAAACAAGAACUCGCUGAUAAAUCAAUGCAUACCUAAUUUUUUACCUAAUGCUACCAUGUUUGUACCUAUCAAAAAAUAAUAUUAUAUUCAUAUAAAACCUUUUAGUAGUGAGCAAGCAUAUAUCCAAAGGAAAGGAAAAGGACAAAACAAAAACACAAACUGAUCAUGUCACACUUUUUAAAGAAAGAAGCUUUGAGUUGAAACCAUAGAUUUCUCAGUAAUAAUGCACACAAAUUCAAUAAAGAGGAAAAUUGGAAGGAGCAUCGACUUCAUCAAAAGGAAAGCAAUCAAGAUAACAUAUUCCAUGUAGCUUUAAUAGCAGAUAUAAUGUUUAGUUAAGCUAAAAAAGUCUCAUGAGAUUAUGAAAAGAACAUUAUGGAGAUAUUUUUUGGCUAUUGCAAAAGCCACAUAUGCAUAUCCUAUGUUAAAUUACUUUUAAAAAAAAAUUGUUAUCAUCCCAUCCCAUCUCCCAUUAAUCUAUGACCAUCCAAUAAUACACACAAGGGAAUUGAAGUUUCUUUUGUACAAAAUCAUACUCUCACCUAUCUCUCUCUAGAGAGGAAUUUUCAAGUCUCAGCACUGUCGUUGAUGGUCAAAUCUACUUAUCUCGACCCUGCAUAAACUGCAAAAAAUUGAACACACUUCAAUAUUAGGAUGUGGGUUGGUUUGUAACGCGUACAAUAAAUUGAACACAAACUAAUUUCUUUCGUAAUAUGAGAAAAAUUUAUGAUAGAAACCUGAAAAUAUUAGGGGAAAAUAAGCACGAGAAGCCCUUAAACAAUCAUUCAUAGAUGCCUUAUCAAUGGCAGGACAAGACUAUCAGCACAAGAUCAUGAAGAAGGAAAAUUGUAUAAUGGGAUAGUUGACCUAAUGAAGCUCGGACGCAAACACCACUAUUAACAAGAGUAUGUUUUCUAAAUAGGAAAUUUAACAAUCACAUAGAGUUGUUUAGUUUGUCAAGCUCAUGUAUCAUCGGCUGACAGCACAAAGUGAUUACUAUCAAGCAAAACAGAGUGAUAAUACAAAUAGACCAAACUGACUAACUAAGAUUACAGUUUGGAACCGAAGUACCAUUGAACUGAAACAUAACCUACAAGUCUUAUAAAGUUUCUAAACCUAACAUACAUAUAGCUAAGGCAAGUAAAGAAUAAGGUAAAAGAACACAUUCUCAGAAAGUUUCAUGUAAAUGGUCUGCCUAAGCUUGACUCAACUCUCAUGUUGCACAAGCAACACAUCUAUGAUAAAUUAGUCCUUUUUGAAGUUAAAUAUCAAUUUAUAUUAAAAACUUCAACCCGCACGGUGUCACUAAUUUAAACUAUUCUUCAAGAGGUUGUUCGGUCCACAAACUAGUAAUACAGAAUUAUUGCCCUAAAUAUAUAAUUUUUUAGCGAAGAGUUAUGCAAAAAUAGCGACACCAAAGCCAAUAAUUAGCUUCAUCCUAGUAUCGCCGAUACACAUUAAUAUUUAGCCCUUCUAACUUGACGGUGCAGUAAAUAAAAAAUUCAAAAGGAGAAGUAAAUUUAACUAAUCAGAUUGUUGGACGUAAUCCGAGGAGCUUUAAUGGCAGCACUAAUAAAACUACUUCAAGUUAUAUAUAUUCCCCUAAAACAUACAUAAUAAUUCCAAUCAGAGAGGCAAAUUAUUAGAUGUAUAGAAGUUAAUCAAAACCCUAACUAGCCCUUAAACAAUCAUUCAAGUGCACCAAGGGUUUUUUAUUUUUCAACUUCAAAUCCAUUAAGAUUUAGAGUGCGACACUAAAAAUCCGUACCAAAAUUAUAUUUAGUUCUAAGAAAAGAAAUUAAACACAAAAAAAGUAAUAGUAACGAGAGAUUAAUGAAAGUGGGUUUGAUAAAAUCAGCACAUACAAGUAUGAAAGCAGAGUUAUCGAUUUUCGUAAAGGAACAAAAGAUGCAGACAAAUAGAUGGCGGCACUUGACUGGAUGUUGCAGAGGAAGUGUCGCCGAAGGAGCGAACACAAGUUGAGUCAGUGCAGGACCAUCUCAAUUAGUUUUAUUGCCAAAACUCCAUCAUUUGUACUGAAUAGACUUGGUCAUUGUAAGCGGGUGGAGGAGUCGGAGCAUGCGGAUAGGGAUUGGGAAAUUUCAAAGGAGAAAUAUUUUAAAGGUCUCUUCAGAACUGGGGGGAAUAUUUCAGUUAAGAGAAAUAAUGGAUUUUAUUGAAAGUUUUACAAUUCACUUAUAAAGAGCGACUUUUAGGAUGAAUAAACAGAACUCUUUAAAAGCGUUGCUAUAUUUGUGAGUAUGUUAUAAAUAGAACUCUAUUUAAGGUGAAUGUCUAUCUUAUAAGAAGAGUCUUACUUCAGGCUAAGUCUUUUAUCUUCCUAUAAAUAGAGGGGUCUUACCCCAUUGUAAAUUAUCCCAAAAAUAUUAAUAAGAAUACUCCUCUCUCUA
RNAcentral lists this long non-coding RNA (3498 nucleotides) under Nicotiana benthamiana. RNAcentral's name for it is "long non-coding RNA (NBEN_LNC029436)". Lineage: Eukaryota; Viridiplantae; Streptophyta; Magnoliopsida; Solanales; Solanaceae. The record is from RNAcentral.